UACGUAGGGGGCUAGCGUUGUCCGGAAUUACUGGGUGUAAAGGGCGUGUAGGCGGGAUAUUAAGUCAGAUGUGAAAGGCCGAGGCUCAACCUCGGGACUGCAUCUGAAACUAGUAUUCUUGAGUGCAGGAGAGGAAAGCGGAAUUCCAAGUGUAGCGGUGAAAUGCGUAGAUAUUUGGAGGAACACCAGUGGCGAAGGCGGCUUUCUGGACUGUAACUGACGCUGAGGCGCGAAAGCGUGGGGAGCAAACAGGAUUAGAUACCCCUGUAGU
RNAcentral lists this ribosomal RNA (271 nucleotides) under uncultured bacterium. RNAcentral's name for it is "partial 16S ribosomal RNA". It matches the Rfam family "Bacterial small subunit ribosomal RNA", at positions 524 to 794 of the family's 1533-position model. The record is from RNAcentral.